RNAcentral lists this ribosomal RNA (253 nucleotides) under uncultured bacterium. RNAcentral describes it as "partial 16S ribosomal RNA". It matches the Rfam family "Bacterial small subunit ribosomal RNA", at positions 524 to 776 of the family's 1533-position model. The record is from RNAcentral.
UACGUAGGAGGCAAGCGUUGUCCGGAGUUACUGGGCGUAAAGCGCACGCAGGCGGUCGCAUCAGUCUGGGGUGACAGUUCCCGGCCUAACCGGGAAAGUGCUCUGGAAACUGUGCGACUUGAGGGCUUCAGAGGGAUGUGGAAUUCCAGGUGGAGUGGUGAAAUGCGUAGAGAUCCGGAGGAACACCAAAGGCGAAGGCAGUGUCCUGGGGAGUACCUGACGCUGAGGUGCGAAAGCCAGGGGAGCGGACGGG